UGCCAGCCGCCGCGGUAACACGUAAGGAGCGAGCGUUGUUCGGAAUUAUUGGGCGUAAAGGGCGUGUAGGCGGUUAAUUAAGUCUUGUUUGAAAUACCGAUGCUCAACAUCGGAAAGGGACAGGAAACUGAUUGACUAGAAUCCGGUAGGGAAAUGUGGAAUUUCUAGUGUAGGGGUGAAAUCUGUUGAUAUUAGAAAGGACACCAAUGGCGAAGGCAACAUUUUGGGCCUGGAUUGACGCUGAGGCGCGAAAGCAUAGGGAGCAAACAGGAUUAGAUA
RNAcentral lists this ribosomal RNA (279 nucleotides) under uncultured bacterium. RNAcentral's name for it is "partial 16S ribosomal RNA". It matches the Rfam family "Bacterial small subunit ribosomal RNA", at positions 506 to 784 of the family's 1533-position model. The record is from RNAcentral.